Molecule: ribosomal RNA, 404 nt
Filed under: uncultured bacterium
Lineage: Bacteria
Description: bacterial SSU rRNA
Rfam family: Bacterial small subunit ribosomal RNA
Source: RNAcentral
AGUGAACGCUGGCGGCAGGCCUAAUACAUGCAAGUCGAACGGCAGCACAGCAGAGCUUGCUCUGUGGGUGGCGAGUGGCGGACGGGUGAGGAAUACGUGGGAAUCUGCCCAGUCGUGGGGGAUAACGUAGGGAAACUUACGCUAAUACCGCAUGCGCCCUUCGGGGAAAGCCGGGGACCUUCGGGCCUGGCGCGAUUGGAUGAGCCCACGUCGGAUUAGCUAGUUGGCGGGGUAAAGGCCCACCAAGGCGACGAUCCGUAGCUGGUCUGAGAGGAUGAUCAGCCACACUGGAACUGAGACACGGUCCAGACUCCUACGGGAGGCAGCAGUAGGGAAUAUUGGACAAUGGGCGCAAGCCUGAUCCAGCCAUGCCGCGUGAGUGAAGAAGGCCCUCGGGUUGUAAA